Molecule: non-coding RNA, 556 nt
Organism: Clarias gariepinus (North African catfish)
Lineage: Eukaryota; Metazoa; Chordata; Actinopteri; Siluriformes; Clariidae
Source: the annotation of a RefSeq genome assembly
ACUAAUACAGAGUUAUUGUGUGAGUUUUGCUUCUGGUAUGAGAUUGGGAUUUUCUGUAAAAUAAUUUUAGGUCUAAGAUACGUAAUAAGUGAAUGAGAGAGAAGCUUAAUCUUUCACUGGAUGUGUUUGCAGUGGAUUUAUGGGAAAGAAGCAGCAUCAGUGUUGGCAGUCUCACCCGGCCCAGUGUGACGGUGCUGCCCCCCUCCAGUGUGGAGCUGCAGCAGGAGAAGGUCACACUCGUGUGUGUGGCCAACAAGGGCUUCCCCUCGGACUGGAGGCUGACCUGGAAGGUUAAUGGGAACAGCUGGACCUCGGGGGAGAGUCACAGUGCUGAUGUUCUGCACACAGACGGCCUCUACAGCUGGAGCAGCACGCUGAGCCUCCGCUCAGAGCAGUGCAGGAACAAGCUGGUGACCUGUGAGGCCUUCAAGGAGAACCAACCUACUGUGGUGAGCACAGUGAACAUAGAGCAGUGCGCAGAGCUGUGAGCUCACACACACUUUACUCAGCUCACCUUCUACUGCUUCACUUUAUGUUACAUCUGGCCUGUAAUGCU